AUUGAACGCUGGCGGCAGGCCUAACACAUGCAAGUCGAACGGUAACAGGAAGAAUCUUGCUUCUUUGCUGACGAGUGGCGGACGGGUGAGUCAUGUCUGGGAAACUGCCUGAUGGAGGGGGAUAACUACUGGAAACGGUAGCUACUACCGCAUAACGUCGCAAGACCAAAGAGGGGGACCUUCUGGCCUCUUGCCAUCGGAUGUGCCCAGAUGGGAUUCGCUAGUAGGUGGGGUAACGGCUCACCUAGGCGACGAUCCCUAGCUGGUCUGAGAGGAUGACCAGCCACACUGGAACUGAGACACGGUCCAGACUCCUACGGGAGGCAGCAGUGGGGAAUAUUGCACAAUGGGCGCAAGCCUGAUGCAGCCAUGCCGAGUGUAUGAAGAAGGCCUUCGGGUUGUAAAGUACUUUCAGCGGGGAGGAAGGGAGUAAAGUUAAUACCUUUGCUGAUUGACGUUACCCGCAGAAGAAGCACCGGCUAACUCCGUG
RNAcentral lists this ribosomal RNA (490 nucleotides) under uncultured bacterium. RNAcentral's name for it is "partial 16S ribosomal RNA". It matches the Rfam family "Bacterial small subunit ribosomal RNA", at positions 30 to 507 of the family's 1533-position model. The record is from RNAcentral.